Molecule: long non-coding RNA, 1557 nt
Organism: Chinchilla lanigera (long-tailed chinchilla)
Lineage: Eukaryota; Metazoa; Chordata; Mammalia; Rodentia; Chinchillidae
Source: Ensembl
CUCCUUUGUUCUUGGUUUUAAUUUCACUCAAACUAUGCCUGAGUUUCCAGUGCUCUUCUUCCCCUUUCGAUGCAAUUGCAGUUCAGUAAUUUGCACUUCUGUCAUCCCUUUCAUCCAGGGAAUCACAAGACCAUCUGAAGCUUGCUCUGAUGAACUUCAGAAAGGUGUUGUAACAGGACAUAGAAUGAGCACUGGUGAAUCUCUUGAGAGGUUACAGAAAUCACUGCCAAAACCAUGACCACGUCCAGGCAGGACAGGGCACCAGAAGGACCACCUUUCAGAUGGGGAAGUUAGACCUCUUGGAGGUAACUUGCGAGCAAGGAAUUGAAGGUUGUUGUUUUAGUUGGGGUUUUCUAGAGAAACAGAAUCAAUGGAAAAUAUAUGUGUAAUUGUGCAAAGGGAUUUACUCGGUAGCUUGCAGGAUCAGAGUUGGACCGUCCAUAGGGGCGGUCUGUGGAGUCAGAAGCUGAGGAAGACACACUAACGAGCUGCAGGAUCCAGUAGCAGUUGAAGGUCGAAGGCCUGAAAGCUCACCGCAGUCUCCAGUGCUGGUCUGCAUUUCAGGCUGAUGGAACCAGAGACUGAUGUCCAAAGGCAACAGUGAAGACUGGAGCUCUUCCAAUGCAGAACACUUCCUUCUUUCUCUUUAUUACCUCCAGGCUAGCAGCCACUCACAUCUGGAAUGGGUCUUCCUUCCUUGUUUUGCUGGCCUAUACGUCAGUCACCCUCAAACACACCUAGACAUUUACAGCUCUGCUGAGCAGUUAUUACUCAAGUCAAACUGACAUACUGCAAUUAACAAACACAGAAGUUAGUGACUGAGCGAGGUAAUUACGGGGGGCUGCAGCUUAAACUGCUUGGACACGUAAGGCCUUCAGAGAGGGAUGUGCUGGUCAUUCAGAGACCUAUAAGAAGACUACGAUUGCCAACCAGAGUGAGCACGGGACAGUGUGGCAAGCGAGGGCAUGAGGCCACAUUAUAAGCCAUUUGUAGGACUUCACAAGGACAUUGCUUUCCUGCUGAGAUGUCUUGAUAGGUUUUGUUUUAGCUUGCAACGAAAAUCAUUUCAUUGUGGUGGUGAUCCCAGCUACCACUUGAGGGGCUGAAGUAGAUAGAGCAUAAGUCUGAGGCCAACUUAGCAAGAUCCUGUCUCAAAAUAAGAUAAAAAGGGCUGGGGUUGUAGCUCCGUGACAGAGUGCUUGAUGCGCAAGUCUCUGGGUUUGAUCACCAUAACCAUACAAAGAAAGAAAGAAAGAAAGAAAGAAAGAAAGAAAGAAAGAAAGAGAAAAAGAAAAAUUCAUUUCAUUUGAAGCCAAUGCUUAAUUUACCUUUUGUCUAACAGAGUAAAACUAUGUAAGAUAUUAAGUGGGCCCAAUCUAUAGUUAAUAAACAGUAUAUGUACAAGCAAGCAGAGACUCAAAGUUCCAGUUACAGCAUGUGUGUGGUGCUUAGCUCGGAUAGAUGGCAGUAGCUGAACCCUUUCACCAUGCGUACCUUUCUGUACUUACAUUGUUGACUCCAUUACCACUUCCCGUAGGGACCCAGUCUCCAAACCCA